Gossypium raimondii (Peruvian cotton) is the source of this 145-nucleotide non-coding RNA. Lineage: Eukaryota; Viridiplantae; Streptophyta; Magnoliopsida; Malvales; Malvaceae. The record is from Rfam.
UAUUCAAAAUUUCAUCUAUUUUUACUAUUAAAAAUUGGUGUAGCUGACAAAAUAACUAGAUAAUUACACAUGACAUGCCACAUGUACCUCAUGCUGACAUAUAGAAACUAAUUUUUAACAUUGAAAAUGAAUAACAUUUUUAACA